GCCUCUAUGGCGCAGUGGUAACGCGUUGCACUUGUAUAUAAGCAAGAGAAUGCAAAGAUCCCUCGUUCGAACCGGGGUGGAGGCA
Non-coding RNA from Hypoxylon sp. CI-4A, 85 nucleotides. Lineage: Eukaryota; Fungi; Ascomycota; Sordariomycetes; Xylariales; Hypoxylaceae. The record is from the annotation of a GenBank genome assembly.